UGCCUUACUAGCGUGCGAGUGAAGCGGCUNAAGCUUCAAAUUUCAAAUCUGGCUCUUUCAGAGUCCGAGUUGUAAUUUGAAGAAGGUAUCUUUGGGUCUGGUUCUUGUCUAUGUUUCUUGGAACAGAACGUCACAGAGGGUGAGAAUCCCGUGCGAUGAGAUGAUCCAGGCCUAUGUAAAGUUCCUUCGAAGAGUCGAGUUGUUUGGGAAUGCAGCUCUAAGUGGGUGGUAAAUUCCAUCUAAAGCUAAAUAUUGGCGAGAGACCGAUAGCGAACAAGUACAGUGAUGGAAAGAUGAAAAGAACUUUGAAAAGAGAGUGAAAAAGUACGUGAAAUUGUUGAAAGGGAAGGGCUUGAGAUCAGACUUGGUAUUUUGUAUGUUACUUCUUCGGGGGUGGCCUCUACAGUUUAUCGGGCCAGCAUCAGUUUGGGCGGUAGGAGAAUUGCGUUGGAAUGUGGCACGGCUUCGGUUGUGUGUUAUAGCCUUCGUCGAUACUGCCAGCCUAGACUGAGGACUGCGGUUUAUACCUAGGAUGUUGGCAUAAUGAUCUUAAGUCGCCCGUCUUG
RNAcentral lists this ribosomal RNA (566 nucleotides) under [Candida] sp. RNAcentral's name for it is "Candida sp. (in: Saccharomycetales) partial large subunit ribosomal RNA". It matches the Rfam family "Eukaryotic large subunit ribosomal RNA", at positions 76 to 656 of the family's 3401-position model. The record is from RNAcentral. Lineage: Eukaryota; Fungi; Ascomycota; Saccharomycetes; Saccharomycetales.